Centropristis striata (black sea bass) is the source of this 452-nucleotide long non-coding RNA. RefSeq lists it as uncharacterized. The transcript has 4 exons. Lineage: Eukaryota; Metazoa; Chordata; Actinopteri; Perciformes; Serranidae. The record is from RefSeq and is a predicted model, not a curated record.
GAAGACGAAGGGCUCCUCGUUGUAGGCUGGGUUCAGUCCGUUGUUCAUCACCAUACGUGUGCGGAACUCCUUCCGAAUGGUGUCUGUUGGCAGGCCAUACAUGUCGACCUCAACGAUUUAACAGUUUUUCUGCAAGAAUGAUGACCUGACCUGUACGCUGCACGUUGCAGCAAUGACCCCAUCGACUGGUGUCUCUGAGAAAGGGUCAAACAUCCUGUCUGACCGCCGCAUGAAAUCAGGCUUCAGCAGCUCUGCAUCACGGGAGCUCCGCCUCUUGUGUGACCCCCCCUCCAGGCUCACACAUGCUCCGCUCCCAGCAGGCCAUAUGGAUGUCUGUGCACAUGGCCUUGCCAUGAGUGAUAAUGGGCUCCUGGUCCUCUCCUUUCCCAUCCCAGCAGUCCAGCUCCACACAUCUGACAGGAUGAAAAACACAGAAACUGUACAUGAAGGAU